AAACUUUGGCCUGACUAAAGAUGGACAAGUGCAUUUAACCUAAUUUAUCCUAUUUUUCAAAGUUUACUUUCUUACACCGAGUUUUCUCCACUUUUUACCCACAUACUUGUUUCAUUUAAUUAUAUGUACUUGGUUUUUCUGAGUGCACAGCAUGGUUUGUGGUAUGAGACUUAAGUUUCAGAGCUGUGCGCAUGUCCAUUUCCGGUUAGCGCGCAUUUACCGGAAGCAAGCAGUUCAAAUCCGAUCACGCAGACCCUGGGCUCUCACGGAAGGUUGGCUCUAACGUUGAUUUCGACUAUCUUAGGUGGUGUCUGGCAGUGAAGUUGGUGGCAGUUUGAAAAGAGUUACCCUCGGUCACCAAGACUUUGUUGGCCACCAGGGUACCAGAUAAUCAUCUUACUCAGUCAGACCAGCUCAGCAACCGCAGUUUUCGUGUCUGUACACCUCCUCCUCACUGCUGCGUCAUUGAUAAGAAGCUCUCUCAGUAGACUUGACCAAAAAUCUUUUAGAGAUGAUCCAGACUGUACAAGCUCAAGUUUACAAGUAAAGAAAGGACAAUCCUCAAAAAGAAAGUCUUGGAUUGUGGCCAACUGUCCUCCACUGAGAAUCAAAUCAGUGUCUACUGGAGGAGGCAUGCAUUGGACAUGUCUUUGCUGAGUUCUACAGAGUUACCAGUAAGAACCUUAAGAAAGACUUCUACGAAGCUCUUGAGCACCACGCCACUCGU
Molecule: long non-coding RNA, 727 nt
Organism: Amphiprion ocellaris (clown anemonefish)
Lineage: Eukaryota; Metazoa; Chordata; Actinopteri; Pomacentridae
Exons: 5
Source: RefSeq, a predicted model, not a curated record